RNAcentral lists this ribosomal RNA (1427 nucleotides) under Mycobacterium sp. 29630-14. Its description in RNAcentral is "bacterial SSU rRNA". It matches the Rfam family "Bacterial small subunit ribosomal RNA". The record is from RNAcentral. Lineage: Bacteria; Bacillati; Actinomycetota; Actinomycetes; Mycobacteriales; Mycobacteriaceae.
UCAUGGCUCAGGACGAACGCUGGCGGCGUGCUUAACACAUGCAAGUCGAACGGAAAGGCCCUUCGGGGUACUCGAGUGGCGAACGGGUGAGUAACACGUGGGUGAUCUGCCCUGCACUUUGGGAUAAGCCUGGGAAACUGGGUCUAAUACCGAAUACACCCUGCUGGUCGCAUGGCCUGGUGGGGGAAAGCUUUUGCGGUGUGGGAUGGGCCCGCGGCCUAUCAGCUUGUUGGUGGGGUGAUGGCCUACCAAGGCGACGACGGGUAGCCGGCCUGAGAGGGUGACCGGCCACACUGGGACUGAGAUACGGCCCAGACUCCUACGGGAGGCAGCAGUGGGGAAUAUUGCACAAUGGGCGCAAGCCUGAUGCAGCGACGCCGCGUGGGGGAUGACGGCCUUCGGGUUGUAAACUCCUUUCGCCAGGGACGAAGCGCAAGUGACGGUACCUGGAGAAGAAGGACCGGCCAACUACGUGCCAGCAGCCGCGGUAAUACGUAGGGUCCGAGCGUUGUCCGGAAUUACUGGGCGUAAAGAGCUCGUAGGUGGUUUGUCGCGUUGUCCGUGAAAACUCACAGCUUAACUGUGGGCGUGCGGGCGAUACGGGCAGACUAGAGUACUGCAGGGGAGACUGGAAUUCCUGGUGUAGCGGUGGAAUGCGCAGAUAUCAGGAGGAACACCGGUGGCGAAGGCGGGUCUCUGGGCAGUAACUGACGCUGAGGAGCGAAAGCGUGGGGAGCGAACAGGAUUAGAUACCCUGGUAGUCCACGCCGUAAACGGUGGGUACUAGGUGUGGGUUUCCUUCCUUGGGAUCCGUGCCGUAGCUAACGCAUUAAGUACCCCGCCUGGGGAGUACGGCCGCAAGGCUAAAACUCAAAGGAAUUGACGGGGGCCCGCACAAGCGGCGGAGCAUGUGGAUUAAUUCGAUGCAACGCGAAGAACCUUACCUGGGUUUGACAUGCACAGGACGCCGGCAGAGAUGUCGGUUCCCUUGUGGCCUGUGUGCAGGUGGUGCAUGGCUGUCGUCAGCUCGUGUCGUGAGAUGUUGGGUUAAGUCCCGCAACGAGCGCAACCCUUGUCUCAUGUUGCCAGCACGUAAUGGUGGGGACUCGUGAGAGACUGCCGGGGUCAACUCGGAGGAAGGUGGGGAUGACGUCAAGUCAUCAUGCCCCUUAUGUCCAGGGCUUCACACAUGCUACAAUGGCCGGUACAAAGGGCUGCGAUGCCGUGAGGUGGAGCGAAUCCUUUCAAAGCCGGUCUCAGUUCGGAUCGGGGUCUGCAACUCGACCCCGUGAAGUCGGAGUCGCUAGUAAUCGCAGAUCAGCAACGCUGCGGUGAAUACGUUCCCGGGCCUUGUACACACCGCCCGUCACGUCAUGAAAGUCGGUAACACCCGAAGCCGGUGGCCUAACCCCUUGUGGGAGGGAGCC